RNAcentral lists this ribosomal RNA (2319 nucleotides) under Triticum aestivum (bread wheat). RNAcentral describes it as "partial small subunit ribosomal RNA". The record is from RNAcentral. Lineage: Eukaryota; Viridiplantae; Streptophyta; Magnoliopsida; Poales; Poaceae.
AUGGGCCGAUAUGCCGCGGUUAAGGUUCAUGAGGAUGCGUGGAAGACAGGGCGACAAUCCUGGAAUUCCACGGUGAUGAGCUGGUCACACAGUGCAAAAGAGCUGUGGAAGAACCCAAGGGUAACAAUGAUCCGGAUCGAGGUGCUUGUCUCUUUGGUUGCUGGUGUCAUGCUCUUCCUCGCCAUCUUCGGGUUCUGCCGUCGCCGAUGCAGACAUUGGUUUGUCCAGAAAGGUGUCCUAGGCGCGUAUACGCUGUCCUUCUCGCUGGCAACGUACGUGCUCGGUUCCAUGCAAUCUUCAGAGUUGAAGAGCAGCAUGUACCCUAUUUGGGCCAUAUCUCUCUUCAUGCUUCAUGCUUGCACCGACUCUAUCACUGCUUAUAGUCUCGAUGACUACAAGCAAGUAACAAGACUCAAUUACCAGGCUUUUAUGUACUUUAUGUACACGAUGUUGCUUUUGAUCACAGUGCAUACGGACUACAGCUUAGCACUUGGUUAUAUGGCUUUUAUUGCUUUUGUCAGAUAUUUGCAGAGACUGGGGGUAUGUGUGCUAGCAAGCCGCUCAUGGAACUUGAACAAAAUGGUUGCUGAUUAUUACAUGUAUAAUAAUGAUGAAAAGUAUAGCAAGAGUGUAUCUGAUCCAGCCACCAUGGAAGGUUGCAAUUACCUGGUUGAUUGGCCCGUUAGCAAAUUCAAGUGUGAUGCUUCGACGUCAUAUGCAACACAAUUAACAGUGGGGGGUCAUGAUGAAGAAGAAGAUGAAAUCAUUGACAUUGGGAAAAUAUGGCGGUGCAAGGACAAGUCACUAGGCCCAGAGCUGAAGGAUGCAUGCCUUUCCUUUUCUCUUUUCCAUGUGCUGAGACUGCGCUUCUUUGGAUUUGCGCGCGGCGAAUCCAAAGACAGGGCGGCACGUAAUUUUGUCUUGGAGGUGCUCCUACCAGACCCAGAGUACAAACUGGAUGGUGCUACAGACCACAACAGGGUGUUGAAGGUGAUCGAGGUUGAGUUAGCAUUUAUGUAUGACUUCUUCUUCACCAAGCAUGCUAUCAUUUAUUAUGGGUCGGUGGCAGCAACAAUCUGGUCCCUGAUUUCAGUCAUUGGUAUAUCUAUCACGGCGUACAUUACUGCGAGGGCUCCAUUGAAGAUUUCUCAGGGUGAUUCCGCAAUCACGAGCACUGUUACAGAUGAUGUUGUUAUAACAUUGGUGAUACUUGGAUCCACUGCUUUGCUUGAAUUCAUACAGCUGCUAUUUUACUGGACGGGAAUCUGGGGCAGAGUAUCAUUUGUUUGCCAAUCUAUCAGACAAGAAGCAAGAUUGAACCCGCAAAGGAAGAAAACAAGGACAAGGGGAAGCUGUCACACUCACAUCAUGGGAUUAAAGGGGUUUCUUGCCAACAUUGGUCUGUCACGUGCAUCAAACAGCCACUACUGGCAGCACAAGCUUGGGCAGUACUCAUUACUUGAUUCAAUCAGCUGCAAUCCGAGGCCAUCGGCGGUUACAUUUUCUCUCUUCACGCGCUUGUUGGUGCUGGUUUGGAGAUUUGUUUAUCUUUUCGAUUGGGUUUUUCAUCAUAGCCUAAAUGAUCAGGUAUCCAGGGCCCGAAAGAGAGCUUGGAAAUCUGUGGAGUUGCCUGAUGAAGUAAAGAAGGCGGUUAUCUGCUCACUUGAACAUAGUGGUGGUACACUAAGCAAUGGGAAAUCUUCCUUACGGUUCAAUGGAGCACAUGACCUCUUAUGGGCUUGCAAGUGGGAAUUGCACCCGGAUCCAAGCUGGUCCCAGAGGAAGCAGAAUCAGACUCACAUUAUUUUGACUUGGCACAUUGCAACAUGGUACUGUGAGAUGGCAACACUUUCUAAAAAUAGGGCAGCAAAACAGGACAUGUAUUUUAGCACUGCCACAAAACUGUCGAAAUAUUGUGCAUACUUGGUGGUCUCUGUGCCAAAGCUUCUUCCUGGGCAUCACUAUGAUACUAGAAGCAAAUUUGAUGCAGCUGUAGUAGAAGCAAUUACACUCCCGCCAGAGUCGACGAGCAUGUAUGAGGCCAUGAGGAAGUUAACGGUACAACAGGAGCCGAAGACGAUCUUUGAGAGCGGUGUGAAACUGGGGAAGCAACUGGAGGAAAUGGAAGAGGGCGCCCGUUGGAAGGUGAUGGCUGAUUUCUGGGCAGAGAUGCUGCUCUACCUCGCGCCAUCUGAUAAUGUCAACGAGCACAUCGAGCAGCUUGCGCAGGGUGGGGAGUUCAUCACCCACCUCUGGGCUUUGCUAUCUCAUGCAGGCAUCCUUGAGAGAGAUCACGAGCAUCAAGCUGGGGGCGUGUAA